RNAcentral lists this ribosomal RNA (197 nucleotides) under uncultured bacterium. RNAcentral's name for it is "partial 16S ribosomal RNA". It matches the Rfam family "Bacterial small subunit ribosomal RNA", at positions 328 to 539 of the family's 1533-position model. The record is from RNAcentral.
ACGCUCGACACCUACGGGAGGAGCAGUGGGGAAUAUUGCACAAUGGGGGAAACCCUGAUGCAGCGACGCCGCGUGAGCGAAGAAGUAUUUCGGUAUGUAAAGCUCUAUCAGCAGGGAAGAAACUGACGGUACCUGACCAAGAAGCACCGGCUAAAUACGUGCCAGCAGCCGCGGUAAUCUGAGCGGGCUGGCAAGGC